Molecule: long non-coding RNA, 334 nt
Organism: Spea bombifrons (plains spadefoot toad)
Lineage: Eukaryota; Metazoa; Chordata; Amphibia; Anura; Pelobatidae
Exons: 2
Source: RefSeq, a predicted model, not a curated record
CAACCACAAUUAAAUAUUUUGAACUUCACGCCUAAAAAAACUAAAUCAAUAGAGCAAAAAAUAUAUUGUUAAAAUGUAUUUAAAAUGACCACAUGUUUAUGUGCGUGACGUUAACGUGUGUGAGUGUAUGGAGUUUGUGUGUUACUCUGUUGGGUUAUGUGCAUUGGUGUAUGGUGUUAGCAUGUGGCCGGCCCUGUAUGGUGUAAAUGUAAGCAUAUACUGUUUAAUUGUGUGGGGUCACCAAAGAAAUACUGCACCCAGGUUCCACUAACCCCUGUUGGCAGACACUGUUUUGGGUUGGAAGGCAGAGAGAAAGGAAGACAGAGAAGGAAAA